GUUGUGGCUUAGUGGGCAUAGCGCUUGCCUAGAAUGCAUGAGGCACUGAGUUUGAUCCCUUGCACCACA
RNAcentral lists this transfer RNA (69 nucleotides) under Marmota monax (woodchuck). Its description in RNAcentral is "tRNA.Ser". The record is from RNAcentral. Lineage: Eukaryota; Metazoa; Chordata; Mammalia; Rodentia; Sciuridae.